RNAcentral lists this ribosomal RNA (447 nucleotides) under uncultured bacterium. RNAcentral describes it as "bacterial SSU rRNA". It matches the Rfam family "Bacterial small subunit ribosomal RNA", at positions 355 to 825 of the family's 1533-position model. The record is from RNAcentral.
UCGGGAAUUUUGGGCAAUGGGCGAAAGCCUGACCCAGCAACGCCGCGUGAAGGAUGAAGUAUUUCGGUAUGUAAACUUCGAAAGAAUAGGAAGAAUAAAUGACGGUACUAUUUAUAAGGUCCGGCUAACUACGUGCCAGCAGCCGCGGUAAUACGUAGGGACCAAGCGUUGUUCGGAUUUACUGGGCGUAAAGGGCGCGUAGGCGGCAAUUCAAGUCAUCUGUGAAAUCUCCGGGCUUAACUCGGAACGGUCAGAUGAUACUGCUUUGCUAGAGUGCAGAAGGGGCAAUCGGAAUUCUUGGUGUAGCGGUGAAAUGCGUAGAUAUCAAGAGGAACACCUGAGGUGAAGACGGGUUGCUGGGCUGACACUGACGCUGAGGCGCGAAAGCGUGGGGAGCAAACAGGAUUAGAUACCCAGGUAGUCCCUGAGCGGGCUGGCAAGGCGCAU